RNAcentral lists this ribosomal RNA (513 nucleotides) under uncultured bacterium. RNAcentral describes it as "bacterial SSU rRNA". It matches the Rfam family "Bacterial small subunit ribosomal RNA", at positions 29 to 536 of the family's 1533-position model. The record is from RNAcentral.
AAUGAACGCUGGCGGCGUGCCUAACACAUGCAAGUCGAGCGAGAAAGUCCCCUUCGGGGGGCGAGUAAAGCGGCGCACGGGUGAGUAACGCGUGGGUAACCUACCUUAGAGUGGGGGAUAACCAGCCGAAAGGCUGACUAAUCCCGCAUACGUCCAGCAGGCAUACGUCUGUUGGGGAAAGAUGGCCUCUGCUUGCAAGCUAUCGCUCUUAGAUGGGCCCGCGUUAGAUUAGCUAGUUGGUGAGGUAAUGGCUCACCAAGGCUACGAUCUAUAGCUGGUUUGAGAGGACGACCAGCCACACUGGAACUGAAACACGGUCCAUACACCUACGGGUGGCAGCAGUAGGGAAUAUUAGUAAUGGGCAAAAGCCUGAACUAGCGACACCGCGUGUGCGAAGAAGGCCUCGGUUGUAAGACACUUUUAGUAGAGGAUAGAGGAAGGACGGUACGUCUCUGAAUAAGUACUCGGCUAACUAACCGUGCCGAGCGAGCCGACGGUAAGUCUAAGUCUACG